RNAcentral lists this ribosomal RNA (443 nucleotides) under uncultured bacterium. Its description in RNAcentral is "partial 16S ribosomal RNA". It matches the Rfam family "Bacterial small subunit ribosomal RNA", at positions 338 to 795 of the family's 1533-position model. The record is from RNAcentral.
CCUACGGGUGGCAGCAGUGGGGAAUAUUGGACAAUGGGCGCAAGCCUGACCCAGCAACGCCGCGUGAGGGAAGAAGGCCCUCGGGUUGUAAACUUCUUUUAUCAAGGACGAAACAAAUGACGGUACUUGAUGAAUCAGCCGCGGCUAACUACGUGCCAGCAGCCGCGUUAAUACGUAGGUGGCAAGCGGUAUCCGGAUUUACUGGGUGUAAAGGGCGUGUAGGCGGGACUGCAAGUCAGAUGUGAAACCCCUGGGCUCAACCCAUGGCCUGCAUUUGAAACUGUAGUGCUUGAGUGUUGGAGAGGCAGGCGGAAUUCCGGGUGUAGCGGUGAAAUGCGUAGAUAUAAGGAGGAACACCAGUGGCGAAGGCGGCCUGCUGGACAAUAACUGACGUUGAGGCGCGAAAGCGUGGGGAGCAAACAGGAUUAGAUACCCGGGUAGUC